GUUGAGGUUUUAACGGUCAAAUUCCUUAUUUCUGUGUUUCAUCACCAAUAAAGUUAAUGUGGAGGUUUUAAUGGUCAAAUUUGAGUAAAUAAAGCCGUUGUUAAUUGUGAUUUUCGGGGGGAAAAAUGGGAUCUUUGAUGAGUGAAGAAAAGGUUGGAGUAACCGAAGAAAAAGAAUCAUAUGAAGCUAUUGUUUACAUCAAUGGUGUUCGGAAAGUUCUUUCUGAUGGUUUAGCUCACUUGACUCUUCUUGAGUAUCUCUGAGAUCUUGGUCUAACUGGGACAAAAUUAGGAUGUGGUGAAGGAGGAUGUGGUGCUUGUACAUUUAUGGUUUCCUACUAUGAUCAGCAGCACAAGAAAUGUGUGCACCAUGCAGUUAAUGCAUGUUUGGCGCCGCUGUACUCUGUAGAAGGAAUGCAUGUAAUCACAGUGGAAGGCAUCGGAAGUCGUAAACUUGGCUUGCAUCCAGUACAGGUUCAAUUCUUCCCUUUCUAUUUGAUUUCAUCGAAAGAGGAUCAUACUUCAUAUAUCAUUAUAAGUACACACAAGAGCUUUUCAGAUGUUGAAAUGUUU
This is a long non-coding RNA of Chenopodium quinoa (quinoa), 572 nucleotides long. RefSeq lists it as uncharacterized. Lineage: Eukaryota; Viridiplantae; Streptophyta; Magnoliopsida; Caryophyllales; Amaranthaceae. The record is from RefSeq and is a predicted model, not a curated record. The transcript is spliced from 4 exons.